UCUCCGUUGGUGAACCAGCGGAGGGAUCAUUACCGAGCUUACAACUCCCAAACCCCUGUGCACUUAUACCUUUACUGUUGCGUCGGCGGGUAUUCGCCCCGGAACAGGCCCGGGAGGGCCGGCCCGGAACCAGGCGCCCGCCGGGGGACCCAAACUCUUGUAUUUUUUCUUUGCAUGUUUGAGUGGAAUCAUACAAAAUGAAUCAAAGCUUUCAACAACGGAUCUCUUGGUUCUG
This 235-nucleotide unclassified non-coding RNA is filed under the name plant metagenome. Its description in RNAcentral is "partial contains small subunit ribosomal RNA, internal transcribed spacer 1, and 5.8S ribosomal RNA". The record is from RNAcentral.